Molecule: ribosomal RNA, 510 nt
Filed under: Photorhabdus luminescens
Lineage: Bacteria; Pseudomonadati; Pseudomonadota; Gammaproteobacteria; Enterobacterales; Morganellaceae
Description: bacterial SSU rRNA
Rfam family: Bacterial small subunit ribosomal RNA
Source: RNAcentral
CCUACCUUGCAAGUCGGGCGGUAACAGGAAAGCGCUUGCGCUUUUGCUGACGAGCGGCGGACGGGUGAGUAAUGUCUGGGGAUCUGCCCGAGGGCGGGGGAUAACCACUGGAAACGGUGGCUAAUACCGCAUAAUGUCGCGAGACCAAAGUGGGGGACCUGAAAGGGCCUCACGCCGUCGGAUGAACCCAGAUGGGAUUAGCUGGUAGGUAGGGUAAUGGCCUACCUAGGCGACGAUCCCUAGCUGGUCUGAGAGGAUGACCAGCCACACUGGGACUGAGACACGGCCCAGACUCCUACGGGAGGCAGCAGUGGGGAAUAUUGCACAAUGGGCGCAAGCCUGAUGCAGCCAUGCCGCGUGUAUGAAGAAGGCCUUCGGGUUGUAAAGUACUUUCAGCGGGGAGGAAGGGUUGAGCCUGAACAGGGCUGGUCCUUGACGUUACCCGCAGAAGAAGCACCGGCUAACUCCGUGCCUGCAGCCGCGGUAAUACGGAGGGUGCGAGCGUUAAUC